AUUUAAAUAGCUUAUAGUUAGAGUAUGACAUUGAAGAUGUUAGGGUGAUUAAUUUAAUCUUUAAAUA
RNAcentral lists this transfer RNA (67 nucleotides) under Anopheles sp. NFL-2015. RNAcentral describes it as "tRNA-Phe". Lineage: Eukaryota; Metazoa; Arthropoda; Insecta; Diptera; Culicidae. The record is from RNAcentral.